RNAcentral lists this ribosomal RNA (886 nucleotides) under uncultured Lysobacterales bacterium. RNAcentral describes it as "bacterial SSU rRNA". It matches the Rfam family "Bacterial small subunit ribosomal RNA", at positions 58 to 936 of the family's 1533-position model. The record is from RNAcentral. Lineage: Bacteria; Pseudomonadati; Pseudomonadota; Gammaproteobacteria; Lysobacterales.
CAAGUCGAACGGUAACAGGCCCGCAAGGGUGCUGACGAGUGGCGGACGGGUGAGGAAUACAUCGGAAUCUGCCCGGUUGUGGGGGAUAACGUAGGGAAACUUACGCUAAUACCGCAUACGACCGAAAGGUGAAAGCGUGGGAUCCGCAAGGACCUCGCGCAGCCGGAUGAGCCGAUGUCGGAUUAGCUGGUUGGCGGGGUAAAAGCCCACCAAGGCGACGAUCCGUAGCUGGUCUGAGAGGAUGAUCAGCCACACUGGGACUGCGACACGGCCCAGACUCCUACGGGAGGCAGCAGUGGGGAAUAUUGGACAAUGGGGGCAACCCUGAUCCAGCAAUGCCGCGUGUGUGAAGAAGGCCUUCGGGUUGUAAAGCACUUUUAUCCGGAACGAAACGCGCAGGGUGAACAGCCUUGUGAACUGACGGUACCGGAGGAAUAAGCACCGGCUAACUUCGUGCCAGCAGCCGCGGUAAUACGAAGGGUGCAAGCGUUACUCGGAAUUACUGGGCGUAAAGCGUGCGUAGGUGGUUUGUUAAGUCUGCUGUGAAAGCCCCGGGCUCAACCUGGGAAUGGCAGUGGAUACUGGCAAGCUAGAGUGCGGUAGAGGGGUGUGGAAUUCCCGGUGUAGCGGUGAAAUGCGUAGAGAUCGGGAGGAACACCAGUGGCGAAGGCGGCACCCUGGACCAGCACUGACACUGAGGCACGAAAGCGUGGGGAGCAAACAGGAUUAGAUACCCUGGUAGUCCACGCCCUAAACGAUGCGAACUGGACGUUGGGAGCAACUUGGCUCUCAGUGUCGAAGCUAACGCGUUAAGUUCGCCGCCUGGGGAGUACGGUCGCAAGACUGAAACUCAAAGGAAUUGACGGGGGCCCGCACAAGCGGUGGA